RNAcentral lists this ribosomal RNA (253 nucleotides) under uncultured bacterium. RNAcentral describes it as "partial 16S ribosomal RNA". It matches the Rfam family "Bacterial small subunit ribosomal RNA", at positions 524 to 776 of the family's 1533-position model. The record is from RNAcentral.
UACGUAGGGUGCAAGCGUUGUCCGGAAUUAUUGGGCGUAAAGAGCUCGUAGGCGGUCUGUCACGUCGGCUGUGAAAUCCCGAGGCUCAACCUCGGGUCGGCAGUCGAUACGGGCAAACUAGAGUAUUGCAGGGGAGACUGGAAUUCCUGGUGUAGCGGUGAAAUGCGCAGAUAUCAGGAGGAACACCGGUGGCGAAGGCGGGUCUCUGGGCAAUAACUGACGCUGAGGAGCGAAAGCGUGGGGAGCGAACAGG